GUCUGGCUGGCUCAGCCAGUAGAGCAUGUGACUCUUGAUCUUGAGGUCAUGAGUUCAAGCCUCAUGCUGGGCA
Molecule: transfer RNA, 73 nt
Filed under: Canis lupus familiaris (dog)
Lineage: Eukaryota; Metazoa; Chordata; Mammalia; Carnivora; Canidae
Also listed under: 1 other name
Rfam family: tRNA
About the family: Transfer RNA (tRNA) molecules are approximately 80 nucleotides in length. Their secondary structure includes four short double-helical elements and three loops (D, anti-codon, and T loops).
Source: Rfam by way of RNAcentral